AAGAGUGGAAAGCGGCGGACGGGUGAGUAACGCGUAGGCAACCUGCCCCUUGCAGAGGGAUAGCCUCGGGAAACCGGGAUUAAAACCACAUAAAUCCUUUUUAUCGCAUGAUAGAGAGGACAAAGAUUUAUCGGCAAGGGAUGGGCCUGCGUCUGAUUAGUUAGUUGGUGGGGUAACGGCCUACCAAGGCGACGAUCAGUAGCCGACCUGAGAGGGUGAACGGCCACAUUGGAACUGAGACACGGUCCAA
RNAcentral lists this ribosomal RNA (250 nucleotides) under uncultured Bacillota bacterium. Its description in RNAcentral is "uncultured Firmicutes bacterium partial 16S ribosomal RNA". It matches the Rfam family "Bacterial small subunit ribosomal RNA", at positions 84 to 334 of the family's 1533-position model. The record is from RNAcentral. Lineage: Bacteria; Bacillati; Bacillota.